UAUUUUUUGCUGCCAGAAGGGAUCCAAAUAGGUUGUAACUGGGAGUAAAAGAUGUGUCUAAACUGAUCGUCUGGUGCGAAAAUCGACGACCAAGAUCCAGUUAUGUGUAUUGCAGGACAACACCUUUCAUUAGAUACACUUUGAUGCUAUUUCUAGCAUGAUUUUCUAUUUCAGACUUAAAACUAAAUUUCUGAACAACUAAAAUCGCUCUUGUUCCUUAUUUUUUUAGGGCGGUUCCUCUCAUUUUACUGGUUCGUCCUCUCCUUCAUGAUUGAUGUACUGGUUCUGGCCGCUCCUUCGUGAUAGACUCGGUUAACUCUUUGUUAGCCUUGUGGGUCGUAAUUCUUUCUCUCCAGACGCAUAUACUGCCUAAUGUAUUGCUCAUGCUCAUUCUGUACCGAGAUAGUCCUAAUAUCCAUAGGGUUGUAGAUUGAUUUCCCCUGAAAAAGCUAUGCUUCUUUCCUUGGAUGAUAAGCAUGUUCGGCAGCUAUGUGGAAUUCUUAAGAUAAACGGUCUUUAGUAUCUUUUGGUGCAUCUGCGUGCACGUAACAGUCUGUUAGUUUCUCUUUAUAUAAUGAAAAAAAUAUGCUACUGUUGCUUGUUUAUUAUUAUCUAUCAUUUGUAGAUUUAUUUUUAGGCCACCGGUGCUUGUAUGUAUAAUUUCUAGUCUCUUGAAUGAAUAAUUUUUCUUUAUGUGUCAUGCGUCUUGUGUUACUACAUACAUCUGUCGUGAAGUACAUGGUUCCGGAACUAUGGUAACCCGUAGUUUGCUCUACCCGUGAUAGUAGGAUGAUGGAAGCAUCACUACUGAAUGUAGUUCAUGUUUCUUCAUAUAAUCAUCAUUUACUAGAGUUUCUCUUCUUCUUGCUACUGCUUGGUUUUUGACGCCACUAGCUUGUACUAAAACGUAAACACAUCAUAUUGUUUUCAUCAGACUAGGGUACCUUGAGCAUGCAAAGUAAACACAUGCUACUCCACUUGUCUAUUUGUACAUAAACUUUUUUUAAAAUAAACCGAGCUAAUAAACCAAACGGUGCGAACACAUUCAGUUCUGAAAUUUGUCUACUCCACUUAUUUGAUUGUACUAAAACCUUUGUUUGCAUGUUUCUAAAAUACAGAGAAGAACACCCUGUGUUCUGGUAAAAUAUUUGUUUGCUAUGAUAUGAAAUCCCAUGAUGUGUGUGUUGUUUCAGUUUCUGUAGCUACAACAAAGUCCCAGUUUACUCUGUACUUGCUUUUGAUGAUUGCUGGCUAAAUUUACAGUUGAAAUAAUAGUAGCCAAGGAGUAGAUACAAGACGUAUUUACCGUAUUUUGCAUGGAAUGUUAAAAAUCAGUUUUGUUGCGGUUUCUUGUUCUGUGAGUCAAAUUGCAUAAGAUGGGAGUAUCACAACAUGCAUAUACUGAAGAUGGGAGUAUCACAACCUGAAUGUGCAGCUUAUGUAGUUUCUGUAUUUUUGUUAAAGCAUGGAGUAGCUUCUAUAGUUUCUGUAUUUUUGUUAAAGCAUGGAGUAGCUUCUAUAGCUUCCUCACAAGUUAAUGCUUCGCUCGUCCGGGUGUGUGAUAAAGCCAUUUGUCUUGUGGAAUCAGAUUACAUUUCUGUUUGUUAUGGUAAUAUAAAAAUAUUCGUGCUAUCAAAAUUUUCACAGUGCGUGUCUUUCAUUUCUUUAAUUUGAUUGUUUCCCUUGUAUUCAAUAUGCUUCUAGUGGCUGAUCCUUCCAUUUUUGUUGUGGCAUCUUUAUUUUCACAGGUGUUGUGUGUUCUGGAAGAUGGAAGAGGAAGAAAUUGUUGAACUAAAUUUUCUGUAUUCUGUUUUGUUGUACGUAUCAUUUGAUAGUUUUGUAUAGGAACAAGUGAUACUAUUUUGUAGGGCUUUAUGGCCUGUGAUGUAAACAUAUUUAGUGCUGAAAUAUGAAAUUAUUUGCAAAAUUU
Molecule: long non-coding RNA, 1930 nt
Filed under: Triticum aestivum (bread wheat)
Lineage: Eukaryota; Viridiplantae; Streptophyta; Magnoliopsida; Poales; Poaceae
Description: long non-coding RNA (TAES_LNC021089)
Source: RNAcentral